Molecule: ribosomal RNA, 492 nt
Filed under: uncultured bacterium
Lineage: Bacteria
Description: partial 16S ribosomal RNA
Rfam family: Bacterial small subunit ribosomal RNA
Source: RNAcentral
AGUGAACGCUGGCGGUAGGCCUAACACAUGCAAGUCGAACGGCAGCACAGUAAGAGCUUGCUCUUACGGGUGGCGAGUGGCGGACGGGUGAGGAAUACAUCGGAAUCUACUUUUUCGUGGGGGAUAACGUAGGGAAACUUACGCUAAUACCGCAUACGACCUACGGGUGAAAGCAGGGGAUCUUCGGACCUUGCGCGAUUGAAUGAGCCGAUGUCGGAUUAGCUAGUUGGCGGGGUAAAGGCCCACCAAGGCGACGAUCCGUAGCUGGUCUGAGAGGAUGAUCAGCCACACUGGAACUGAGACACGGUCCAGACUCCUACGGGAGGCAGCAGUGGGGAAUAUUGGACAAUGGGCGCAAGCCUGAUGCAGCCAUACCGCGUGGGUGAAGAAGGCCUGCGGGUUGUAAAGCCCUGUUGUUGGGAAAGAAAAGCAGCAGGUGAAUACCCCGCUGUUCUGACGGUACCCAAAGAAUAAGCACCGGCUAACUUCGUG